GACGAACGCUGGCGGCGUGCUUAACACAUGCAAGUCGAACGGAAAGGCCCUGCUCUUGUGGGGUGCUCGAGUGGCGAACGCGUGAGUAACACGCGAGUAACCUGCCCUUGACUUCGGGAUAACUUCAGGAAACUGGGGCUAAUACCGGACAGGAGCUCUUGCUGCAUGGUGGGGGUUGGAAAGAUUCGGCGGUUCGGGAUGGACUCGCGGCUCAUCAGCUUGUUGGUGGGGUAGUGGCUUACCAAGGCUUCGACGGGUAGCCGGCCUGAGAGGGUGACCGGCCACAUUGGGACUGAGAUACGGCCCAUACUCCUACGGGAGGCAGCAGUGGGGAAUAGUGCAGGAUGGGCGGAAGCCUGAUGCAGCAACGCCGCGUGGGAGAUGACGGCCGGCGGGUAGUAAACCGCUUUCGCCUGUGACGAAGCGUGAGUGACGGUAAUGGGUAAAGAAGCACCGGCUAACUACGUG
Molecule: ribosomal RNA, 468 nt
Filed under: uncultured bacterium
Lineage: Bacteria
Description: partial 16S ribosomal RNA
Rfam family: Bacterial small subunit ribosomal RNA
Source: RNAcentral